Molecule: long non-coding RNA, 1464 nt
Filed under: Mus musculus (house mouse)
Lineage: Eukaryota; Metazoa; Chordata; Mammalia; Rodentia; Muridae
Description: predicted gene, 49371
Source: RNAcentral
GAAAGAUGAGGACUGACUAAACUGCUGUUAGAAGGACUGGUGGUCGUGUCGUUCUUGCUGGUCGAGAGCGGGCGCGACAAUUGGUGGCCCGUACGGGGAACCGACUCCCCCACCAAGUUCAGAACUUUCAGCAGUCAGUGGUUGCCGGCAGGGUAAGUUCACGGACCAGACGGAACCUCUUUGGGUGCUGGAGAGAUUGGUGAGACGCUGCAAGAAUGAGGCUCCUGAUCCAGUUGCCCCUGUGGAUGUGGUGGAUGAUCCCGCAAGCACAAACGAUGGAGCCGAGAUGAGAGAUCCUUUCGGCAAAAUGUCCCUGGAAGAAUUCAACAAAGGUGCCAAGAGGAAUCCAUCCAUUGUCCGGUUGCUGCAGUGAGAUCCCAGCAGUGCUAGCCAGUUCUGAGUGGAAUGGGCUUUACACAGUUGUGUGAAACACAGGCUUGACCUGCCAUCUUCAGCUUUGCUUGCAAAAGUGGACUUCUCCGUGAUUUCUCCUGCUCUCUCAGGACCUGGGUCCAGGCAGCACAUCACACUCACCUGGUCUGGCUGGAUGCAGCUCCCUCCUCUAUUUGAUCCCAUAGAUGUCCCUCCUCCUUCAGUCCAGGCUGGCUCCUUCUAAUGGUUCAAGUGUUCUCAGCUGUAUGCCUCUUUCCCUGCCCACAGAGGGCCUGGAAGCCCUUAAGGACACCAGACAGGACUUUUCAGUAUCUUACCAAGACCAGCUGAUUUAUUCUAUGUUCCCAGGUGACUUUGUGAGGAUGAAGAAGAUAGACAGUAUAUAGGCAAACCCUUCCUAUUCAUGGCUCCACCUCCCUUGUUCAUUUUCUCUGACCAAAGCUGCUUUAAUGUAUAUACCGUGGUAUCCUUACUUUUAAUAUAUAAGUUUUGUAUAAAGUGAGGUCUAGCCCCUCUUUUUAUUUUAUUUUAUUUUUUAAUUUUUAUUGGUUUCUUUUCCGCUCAAGUACACUUUAGAAAUAACAUUUAGACACAGGCACGUGCACGCACACACACACACAUUUACAUGCUCACACGUGCACAUAUACAGACACACAGACACAGACACACAGCCGCACUGCUUCUCUCAUGAAGGGCUUUCCCUUGCUUCCUUUAGUUGCUUUAUAUAAAAUGCAAAGCUUUCAGGGGGCUCGGGGAAGGGGACUGGUUCCCUGACAUCCUUGAGCAAAGAUGCAUAGCACUUGAGAACACGUCAUCCAGUUUCAAAUUCUUUAGCCCCUCUUUUUAAAGCUUCUGACUGCCUUUAAAGCAUGGUCCCCUGUGGCCUGUGAUUCUCCCCACCCCCAAGUCUGGCUGUUGUGUGGUAUUUAUGUAUUCAUUUGCCUAAUUACACAGGAGAUACAUGCAUGCCCAAGGCUGUGUAUAUCUGCCCUCCAUCCUGCAAAUACAGGUGUUCCUGUGUGCUCCAUCCUUCCUUUCUAUUGGUCUGGCAUAUUAAAAUUAUCAAAUAAA